CCUACGGGUGGCAGCAGUGAGGAAUAUUGGUCAAUGGCCGGAAGGCUGAACCAGCCAUGCCGCGUGAAGGUCAGUGCCCUAUGGGCGUUAAACUUCUUUUGUGCGGGAGCAAUAAUGGUCACGUGUGGCCAGACGAGAGUACCGUACGAAUAAGCAUCGGCUAACUCCGUGCCAGCAGCCGCGGUAAUACGGGGGAUGCAAGCGUUAUCCGGAUUUAUUGGGUUUAAAGGGUGCGUAGGCUGUGAGGUAAGUCAGCGGUGAAAUGCCCCCGCUCAACGGGGUGAAGUGCCAUUGAUACUGCCUGGCUGGAAUGCGGAUGCCGUGGGAGGAAUGUGUGGUGUAGCGGUGAAAUGCAUAGAUAUCACACAGAACCCCGAUUGCGAAGGCAUCUCACGAAUCCGCGAUUGACGCUGAUGCACGAAAGCGUGGGUAUCAAACAGGAUUAGAUACCCUAGUAGUC
This 460-nucleotide ribosomal RNA is filed under the name uncultured bacterium. Its description in RNAcentral is "partial 16S ribosomal RNA". It matches the Rfam family "Bacterial small subunit ribosomal RNA", at positions 338 to 795 of the family's 1533-position model. The record is from RNAcentral.